Molecule: transfer RNA, 73 nt
Filed under: Candidatus Melainabacteria bacterium
Lineage: Bacteria; Bacillati; Candidatus Melainabacteria
Description: tRNA-Ala
Rfam family: tRNA
About the family: Transfer RNA (tRNA) molecules are approximately 80 nucleotides in length.
Source: RNAcentral
GGGCUCAUAGCUCAGUUGGUAGAGCGCCUGGUUUGCAUCCAGGAGGUCAGGAGUUCGAGUCUCCUUGGGUCCA